UACGUAUGGUGCAAGCGUUAUCCGGAUUUACUGGGUGUAAAGGGAGCGUAGACGGAGUGGCAAGUCUGAUGUGAAAACCCGAGGCUCAACCCCGGGACUGCAUUGGAAACUGUCAAUCUAGAGUACCGGAGAGGUAAGCGGAAUUCCUAGUGUAGCGGUGAAAUGCGUAGAUAUUAGGAGGAACACCAGUGGCGAAGGCGGCUUACUGGACGGUAACUGACGUUGAGGCUCGAAAGCGUGGGGAGCAAACAGG
RNAcentral lists this ribosomal RNA (253 nucleotides) under Mediterraneibacter faecis JCM 15917. RNAcentral's name for it is "[Ruminococcus] faecis JCM 15917 partial 16S ribosomal RNA". It matches the Rfam family "Bacterial small subunit ribosomal RNA", at positions 524 to 776 of the family's 1533-position model. The record is from RNAcentral. Lineage: Bacteria; Bacillati; Bacillota; Clostridia; Lachnospirales; Lachnospiraceae.